Molecule: ribosomal RNA, 492 nt
Filed under: uncultured bacterium
Lineage: Bacteria
Description: partial 16S ribosomal RNA
Rfam family: Bacterial small subunit ribosomal RNA
Source: RNAcentral
AGUGAACGCUGGCGGUAGGCCUAACACAUGCAAGUCGAACGGCAGCACAGUAAGAGCUUGCUCUUACGGGUGGCGAGUGGCGGACGGGUGAGGAAUACAUCGGAAUCUACUUUUUCGUGGGGGAUAACGUGGGGAAACUUACGCUAAUACCGCAUACGACCUACGGGUGAAAGCAGGGGAUCUUCGGACCUUGCGCGAUUGAAUGAGCCGAUGUCGGAUUAGCUAGUUGGCGGGGUAAAGGCCCACCAAGGCGACGAUCCGUAGCUGGUCUGAGAGGAUGAUCAGCCACACUGGAACUGAGACACGGUCCAGACUCCUACGGGAGGCAGCAGUGGGGAAUAUUGGACAAUGGGCGCAAGCCUGAUCCAGCCAUACCGCGUGGGUGAAGAAGGCCUUCGGGUUGUAAAGCCCUUUUGUUGGGAAAGAAAGGCAGCAGGUUAAUACCCCGCUGUUCUGACGGUACCCAAAGAAUAAGCACCGGCUAACUUCGUG